This 230-nucleotide long non-coding RNA is filed under the name Malus domestica (apple). RNAcentral describes it as "long non-coding RNA (MDOM_LNC017692)". Lineage: Eukaryota; Viridiplantae; Streptophyta; Magnoliopsida; Rosales; Rosaceae. The record is from RNAcentral.
AAGCUAUAAUCCAACCAACGGGACGCCAACAGUUUAUCAAACACCAAAAUUAAAUACCAAUAUUCUAAUAUCCCCAUCAAUUGAACAACAAUUAUCAAUUCUAAAUAAGCUUGUAAUUCGAUCAAACUUUCUAUCAAAACAAAAUUACACAAAAUUAAAUACAAAAAACAAAAACACAAACUGCACCGAUCUGAAUAAGAAAUGCAUACAGAACUGGAAAAAACUGAAGG